Molecule: long non-coding RNA, 563 nt
Organism: Esox lucius (northern pike)
Lineage: Eukaryota; Metazoa; Chordata; Actinopteri; Esociformes; Esocidae
Source: Ensembl
CCUUCUUCCCCUUCAGGUAGGCCUAUAAUUCUGUUUGACUUCAACAAUUGUGGGGGCUCGUCCGGGAUUGGAUAAAGAAGAAGGAAUUCAAUCCGGUCCAGUUGACCUACACAGGAUUCACAGGAUCCAGCGCCGGCGCAUCAGAAAGGGGUCGACAAUGGCGAUACAUGUGACUACCACAGGGGUUUGCGCUUUCCCCUGGCAUAAUUCAACCAGGUACUGAGAGAAGCACUGCAAGGAUGCUCGCUGCCGAUAGGGGUAACUUUGGUCCAGUACGUAGACGACCUGCUGCUGGCGGCCCCGACGGUGGCCGCCUGCAUCAAUUGCUACAAUGACGGUCCUCACCAGACUGGCUGAAAAAGGGUUCAAGGUGUCGAAAGAAAAACUACAGUUGGUAAGAACACAAGUCUCCUUUCUGGGCAGAGUAAUCUCGCAGAAGGGAGCGGGGCUUUCACCGGCACACCACACAACCAUUCUCCACCAUCCCAAACCCACUACUGUUCAGGAAAUUUUAUCAUUCCUGGGGCUCACGGGGUACAGCCGCAAUUGCAUCCAACACUACU